RNAcentral lists this ribosomal RNA (1042 nucleotides) under Escherichia coli. Its description in RNAcentral is "partial 23S ribosomal RNA". It matches the Rfam family "Bacterial large subunit ribosomal RNA", at positions 155 to 1238 of the family's 2925-position model. The record is from RNAcentral. Lineage: Bacteria; Pseudomonadati; Pseudomonadota; Gammaproteobacteria; Enterobacterales; Enterobacteriaceae.
UAACUGAAUCCAUAGGUUAAUGAGGCGAACCGGGGGAACUGAAACAUCUAAGUACCCCGAGGAAAAGAAAUCAACCGAGAUUCCCCCAGUAGCGGCGAGCGAACGGGGAGGAGCCCAGAGCCUGAAUCAGUGUGUGUGUUAGUGGAAGCGUCUGGAAAGGCGCGCGAUACAGGGUGACAGCCCCGUACACAAAAAUGCACAUACUGUGAGCUCGAUGAGUAGGGCGGGACACGUGGUAUCCUGUCUGAAUAUGGGGGGACCAUCCUCCAAGGCUAAAUACUCCUGACUGACCGAUAGUGAACCAGUACCGUGAGGGAAAGGCGAAAAGAACCCCGGCGAGGGGAGUGAAAAAGAACCUGAAACCGUGUACGUACAAGCAGUGGGAGCCUCUUUAUGGGGUGACUGCGUACCUUUUGUAUAAUGGGUCAGCGACUUAUAUUCUGUAGCAAGGUUAACCGAAUAGGGGAGCCGAAGGGAAACCGAGUCUUAACUGGGCGUUAAGUUGCAGGGUAUAGACCCGAAACCCGGUGAUCUAGCCAUGGGCAGGUUGAAGGUUGGGUAACACUAACUGGAGGACCGAACCGACUAAUGUUGAAAAAUUAGCGGAUGACUUGUGGCUGGGGGUGAAAGGCCAAUCAAACCGGGAGAUAGCUGGUUCUCCCCGAAAGCUAUUUAGGUAGCGCCUCGUGAAUUCAUCUCCGGGGGUAGAGCACUGUUUCGGCAAGGGGGUCAUCCCGACUUACCAACCCGAUGCAAACUGCGAAUACCGGAGAAUGUUAUCACGGGAGACACACGGCGGGUGCUAACGUCCGUCGUGAAGAGGGAAACAACCCAGACCGCCAGCUAAGGUCCCAAAGUCAUGGUUAAGUGGGAAACGAUGUGGGAAGGCCCAGACAGCCAGGAUGUUGGCUUAGAAGCAGCCAUCAUUUAAAGAAAGCGUAAUAGCUCACUGGUCGAGUCGGCCUGCGCGGAAGAUGUAACGGGGCUAAACCAUGCACCGAAGCUGCGGCAGCGACACUAUGUGUUGUUGGGUAGGGGAGCG